Molecule: ribosomal RNA, 492 nt
Filed under: uncultured bacterium
Lineage: Bacteria
Description: partial 16S ribosomal RNA
Rfam family: Bacterial small subunit ribosomal RNA
Source: RNAcentral
AGUGAACGCUGGCGGUAGGCCCAACACAUGCAAGUCGAACGGCAGCACAGUAAGAGCUUGCUCUUACGGGUGGCGAGUGGCGGACGGGUGAGGAAUACAUCGGAAUUUACUUUUUCGUGGGGGAUAACGUAGGGAAACUUACGCUAAUACCGCAUACGACCUACGGGUGAAAGCAGGGGAUCUUCGGACCUUGCGCGAUUGAAUGAGCCGAUGUCGGAUUAGCUAGUUGGCGGGGUAAAGGCCCACCAAGGCGACGAUCCGUAGCUGGUCUGAGAGGAUGAUCAGCCACACUGGAACUGAGACACGGUCCAGACUCCUACGGGAGGCAGCAGUGGGGAAUAUUGGACAAUGGGCGCAAGCCUGAUCCAGCCAUACCGCGUGGGUGAAGAAGGCCUUCGGGUUGUAAAGCCCUUUUGUUGGGAAAGAAAAGCAGCAGGUUAAUACCCCGCUGUUCUGACGGUACCCAAAGAAUAAGCACCGGCUAACUUCGUG